GAAGAUUUCAGUUCAUUCCAGACUCUCCCUAAGUUGCAGUCUUCAACUUUCUGACCAUAAUAUAAGAUUGAUCCUUUACUGACAAAAUUCAUUUCCCUUAUUUCUUCAGGGAUUUUGUUAACUUUCAGGCCAAUCCUCUCAAUCCAAUUCUCAACCAUUAGCAUAACCUGUGGGGCCCCAAAUCCUCUAAAAGCUGUAUUA
This 201-nucleotide unclassified non-coding RNA is filed under the name Hevea brasiliensis (rubber tree). Lineage: Eukaryota; Viridiplantae; Streptophyta; Magnoliopsida; Malpighiales; Euphorbiaceae. The record is from RNAcentral.